Molecule: transfer RNA, 60 nt
Filed under: Operophtera brumata (winter moth)
Lineage: Eukaryota; Metazoa; Arthropoda; Insecta; Lepidoptera; Geometridae
Rfam family: tRNA
About the family: Transfer RNA (tRNA) molecules are approximately 80 nucleotides in length. Their secondary structure includes four short double-helical elements and three loops (D, anti-codon, and T loops). Further hydrogen bonds mediate the characteristic L-shaped molecular structure. tRNAs have two regions of fundamental functional importance: the anti-codon, which is responsible for specific mRNA codon recognition, and the 3' end, to which the tRNAs corresponding amino acid is attached (by aminoacyl-tRNA synthetases). tRNAs cope with the degeneracy of the genetic code in two manners: having more than one tRNA (with a specific anti-codon) for a particular amino acid; and 'wobble' base-pairing, i.e. permitting non-standard base-pairing at the 3rd anti-codon position.
Source: Rfam by way of RNAcentral
CGUUCUAUGGCCAAAUUGGUAAAGGCAUCGCCGAUGCGGGUUCGAGUCCCGCUGAAACGG